RNAcentral lists this ribosomal RNA (253 nucleotides) under uncultured bacterium. RNAcentral's name for it is "partial 16S ribosomal RNA". It matches the Rfam family "Bacterial small subunit ribosomal RNA", at positions 524 to 776 of the family's 1533-position model. The record is from RNAcentral.
UACGAAGGGGGCUAGCGUUGCUCGGAAUCACUGGGCGUAAAGCGCACGUAGGCGGAUUGUUAAGUCAGGGGUGAAAUCCUGGAGCUCAACUCCAGAACUGCCUUUGAUACUGACGAUCUCGAGUCCGGGAGAGGUGAGUGGAACUCCGAGUGUAGAGGUGAAAUUCGUAGAUAUUCGGAAGAACACCAGUGGCGAAGGCGGCUCACUGGCCCGGUACUGACGCUGAGGUGCGAAAGCGUGGGGAGCAAACAGG